Molecule: ribosomal RNA, 497 nt
Filed under: uncultured bacterium
Lineage: Bacteria
Description: partial 16S ribosomal RNA
Rfam family: Bacterial small subunit ribosomal RNA
Source: RNAcentral
GAUGAACGCUGGCGGCGUGCCUAAUACAUGCAAGUCGAGCGAACGGACGAGAAGCUUGCUUCUCUGAUGUUAGCGGCGGACGGGUGAGUAACACGUGGAUAACCUACCUAUAAGACUGGGAUAACUUCGGGAAACCGGAGCUAAUACCGGAUAAUAUUUUGAACCGCAUGGUUCAAAAGUGAAAGACGGUCUUGCUGUCACUUAUAGAUGGAUCCGCGCUGCAUUAGCUAGUUGGUAAGGUAACGGCUUACCAAGGCAACGAUGCAUAGCCGACCUGAGAGGGUGAUAGGCCACCUUGGAACUGAGACACGGUCCAGACUCCUACGGGAGGCAGCAGUAGGGAAUCUUCCGCAAUGGGCGAAAGCCUGACGGAGCAACGCCGCGUGAGUGAUGAAGGUCUUCGGAUCGUAAAACUCUGUUAUUAGUGAAGAACAUAUGUGUAAGUAACUGUGCACAUCUUGACGGUACCUAAUCAGAAAGCCACGGCUAACUACGUG